GAUGAAGAACGCAGCGAAAUGCGAUACUUGGUGUGAAUUGCAGAAUCCCGCGAAUCAUCGAGUUUUUGAACGCAAGUUGCGCCCGAAGCCAUUCGGCCGAGGGCACGUCUGCCUGGGUGUCACGCAUCGUUGCCCCCCCAAACUCCGGUUCGGGCGGGGCGGAAGUUGGCCUCCCGUGCGUGCCUGCGCGCGCGGUUAGCCCAAAAGCGAGUCCUCGGCGAUGAGCGCCACGACAAUCGGUGGUUUUUUUACCCUCGUGCCUCGUCGUGCGUGCCCCGUCGCCCGAACGCGCUCUUGCAACCCUUACGCGUCGCCUCGGUGGCGCUCCCAACGCGACCCCAGGUCAGGCGGGACUACCCGCUGAGUUUAAGCAUAUCAAUAAGCGGAGGA
RNAcentral lists this unclassified non-coding RNA (390 nucleotides) under soil metagenome. Its description in RNAcentral is "partial contains 5.8S ribosomal RNA, internal transcribed spacer 2, and large subunit ribosomal RNA". The stretch from base 1 to 122 matches the Rfam family "5.8S ribosomal RNA", at positions 35 to 154 of the family's 154-position model. The record is from RNAcentral.